AUGUUCGAGCGGUUUGGCGAGCUCCUGGUUGAAGGAACCGCGUACAAUGUCACUGAUGUCGAUAGGAUGAGGAGAUACAUCACCACUCACAAUAACGCAGCGAAAAGGGAGAAGUGGAGCAGGGUUGAGUAUGAGGUAACAAUAAACGAAGACAUGUCGAUCUUCAGUUGCGAGUGCGGCAAGUUCGAGCAUACUGGCAUGCUUUGCAGCCAUUCGUUGAGGGUGAUGGAAAUUCUUCACAUGGAGGAGAUACCAAAGCAUCACAUCAUGAAGCGGUGGACGAGGGACGCGAGAGAUGUACUGCCUGGGCACCUGGUUCAGUACCAGAAAGACAGUUCACAAAACCUGUCAUUCACAUACAGGCAUGCAACUCUAUAUGUGAAAGCUAUGGAAGUCGUGAGGAUGGGAGACGCAAGUGCUGCAUCAUAUGAUCAUGUGAACGCGGCUCUCGACGCUGUGCUACAGAGUGGGGCAGCAAUUGCGGAGAAGAGAGAUGGGCUGGCUUUCGAGGAUCGGCUCGUUGAACAUACACCUGCAAUACCAGGCCCAAAUGGGGAACUAGCGUUUGUCCCGCUGGGCACUGAACAAUGCCGGAGCCCCGGUCAUUCUGUCAGUGUGAAUGCAAUGCAAAAUCUAGCAGCUCCAGACAAGCAUAGAGGUGCUGGGAGACCGACAAGCAGCUGA
RNAcentral lists this ribosomal RNA (684 nucleotides) under Triticum aestivum (bread wheat). RNAcentral describes it as "partial small subunit ribosomal RNA". Lineage: Eukaryota; Viridiplantae; Streptophyta; Magnoliopsida; Poales; Poaceae. The record is from RNAcentral.